GAUGAAGAACGCAGCGAAAUGCGAUAAGUAAUGUGAAUUGCAGAAUUCAGUGAAUCAUCGAAUCUUUGAACGCACAUUGCGCCCGCCAGAAUACUGGCGGGCAUGCCUGUUCGAGCGUCAUUUCAACCAUCAAGCCCCCGGCUUGUGUUGGGGACCUGCGGCUGCCGCAGGCCCUGAAAAGCAGUGGCGGGCUCGCUGUCACACCGAGCGUAGUAGCAUACAUCUCGCUCUGGACGUGCUGCGGGUUCCGGCCGUUAAACCACCUUCAUAACCCAAGGUUGACCUCGGAUCAGGUAGGAAGACCCGCUGAACUUAAGCAUAUCAAUAAGCGGAGGA
This 336-nucleotide unclassified non-coding RNA is filed under the name soil metagenome. RNAcentral's name for it is "partial contains 5.8S ribosomal RNA, internal transcribed spacer 2, and large subunit ribosomal RNA". The stretch from base 1 to 120 matches the Rfam family "5.8S ribosomal RNA", at positions 35 to 154 of the family's 154-position model. The record is from RNAcentral.